AACGAACGCUGGCGGCAGGCUUAACACAUGCAAGUCGAGCGAGACCUUCGGGUCUAGCGGCGGACGGGUGAGUAACGCGUGGGAACGUGCCCUUCUCUACGGAAUAGCCCCGGGAAACUGGGCGUAAUACCGUAUACGCCCUUUGGGGGAAAGAUUUCUUGGAGCAGGAUGGGCCCGCGUUGGUUUCGGUAGUUGGUGGGGUAAUGGCCCACUAAGCCGACGAUCCAUAGCUGGUUGGAGAGCAUGAUCAGCCACACUGGGACUGAGACACGGCCCAGACUCGUACGAGAGGCAGCAGAGGGGAAACUAAGACAAGGAGGGCAACGCUGAUCUAGCCAGGCCGGGAGAGUGAUGAAGGCGUUAGAGUUGGAAAGCUCUUUCAGCGGGGAAGAUAAGGACGGUACCAGCAGAAGAAGCCCCGGCUAACACCGU
Molecule: ribosomal RNA, 432 nt
Filed under: uncultured bacterium
Lineage: Bacteria
Description: partial 16S ribosomal RNA
Rfam family: Bacterial small subunit ribosomal RNA
Source: RNAcentral